Long non-coding RNA from Micropterus salmoides (largemouth bass), 669 nucleotides. RefSeq lists it as uncharacterized. NCBI's taxonomy places the organism in Eukaryota, Metazoa, Chordata, Actinopteri, Centrarchiformes, Centrarchidae. The transcript is spliced from 2 exons. The record is from RefSeq and is a predicted model, not a curated record.
UAUCUAUUUUCCCUUAACAGUUUGUUGCUUACCUGCACUUUGACACUGUUAGGAACCUCCUUUUCUCCUGCCCUGUGACCAUUGAUGUAUCUUCAUGACCCAUCUCAGAAGUGGUUCCCCCUUGGUUUAGACCCUGGUUGCUCUGGCCUUUACGCUGCAUGAAGAGAAGCCUGAAACAUGAGCACAGACUCUCUAUACGUGGAUUUAUGAGAUUUUGCAGGCAAGGAAACCCCUCGGCGAGGAGGCACAUUGUUUCGUUCAAGAUCGGAUCUGCUUGGUGCGGUGUUUGUCCCGCCCCUCCUGCACUAGGUAAAAAGUGACAUUGGCGAGUGCAGCGUUUUUCCCCAAAGUUGAACACUUUUCAACUCAGCAACCAGGGAAAAAAAACACUCAGUGCCCAGCGCGGAAAAGACGCUCAGUACCUCGUCUUUACUAGCUUGGAAAAAUGCGGCGCUUCCAUUGGCAUGAAUAGAAAAGACGCUGGCGCUUUAGACACGGACCUUUACUUGGUUGGCUUGUUAUUGUGUGUUUUUGACUGCACUCCACAAUUACAGCUCCUAUGUGGCUUUCACAGUGUUCUAGUGGAUGAGCAAGCAAAGUUUAUGUAGCACCUUUCAGACACCCGUCUGUGCUGCAAUCAAAAAAUAAAAUCUGACAAAACACAAUGGA